RNAcentral lists this ribosomal RNA (447 nucleotides) under uncultured bacterium. Its description in RNAcentral is "partial 16S ribosomal RNA". It matches the Rfam family "Bacterial small subunit ribosomal RNA", at positions 338 to 795 of the family's 1533-position model. The record is from RNAcentral.
CCUACGGGAGGCAGCAGUCGAGAAUCAUUCACAAUGGGGGAAACCCUGAUGGUGCGACGCCGCGUGGGGGAAUGAAGGUCUUCGGAUUGUAAACCCCUGUCAUGUGGGAGCAAAUUAAAAAGAUAGUACCACAAGAGGAAGAGACGGCUAACUCUGUGCCAGCAGCCGCGGUAAUACAGAGGUCUCAAGCGUUGUUCGGAAUCACUGGGCGUAAGGCGUGCGUAGGCUGUUUCGUAAGUCGUGUGUGAAAGGCGCGGGCUCAACCCGCGGACGGCACAUGAUACUGCGAGACUAGAGUAAUGGAGGGGGAACCGGAAUUCUCGGUGUAGCAGUGAAAUGCGUAGAUAUCGAGAGGAACACUCGUGGCGAAGGCGGGUUCCUGGACAUUAACUGACGCUGAGGCACGAAGGCCAGGGGAGCGAAAGGGAUUAGAUACCCCGUGUAGUC